AAAUGGAUGAGCUGCAAGCAGAGGUAACCUCUGUGGGGAAUCUUCAUGGAGAAUCUGCUGCACCACACACAAUGGCAGGUGCCACUGAGAAAUUGACAAGAGCUCCUUGCAGGAUGCAGGCAAAA
Molecule: long non-coding RNA, 125 nt
Organism: Sphaerodactylus townsendi
Lineage: Eukaryota; Metazoa; Chordata; Lepidosauria; Squamata; Sphaerodactylidae
Exons: 4
Source: RefSeq, a predicted model, not a curated record